Acanthopagrus latus (yellowfin seabream) is the source of this 602-nucleotide long non-coding RNA. RefSeq lists it as uncharacterized. The transcript is spliced from 3 exons. Lineage: Eukaryota; Metazoa; Chordata; Actinopteri; Spariformes; Sparidae. The record is from RefSeq and is a predicted model, not a curated record.
GCUGAAAGUUUUUCUGUGUUCCACCGAGCUGCUCCAAUUAAGGUUAAUGGCAUGCUUGUGUAACGAUCCUGCUGCAACAAAAAAAAAAGAAAAAGCCCUUUCAAACACCGAUGCUAUUGUGUCUGGGCCUUUGGCAGAAUACAGGCGUUUCCCCAACAGAGCCAGUGGGGCUAUAAAGGUGCUUCAGUGAGCCCCGGGUCCCCAGGCGCAGCACGGUGCACAUGGGUACCCGUGGGUGUUUUGGCGGCACAGUUUUGUGGCAGGGCACCAAAGAAAACACACAGACAACAGAUGGCCUCUGUUGUCUUCCACCACGCCACGAGGCUUCUGCUGGCUCGGGGUUACACAGCCCACUGAGCGGCAGAGAGACCUGGGACUCAGUCAGAUGGGUACGGCAGAAGGGCACGAGUAACACGCCGCCCUGCAGAAUCACUGCCGCUCUAGCCCCUCCUGGUGCAUCUUCACCCCGGCUGCCAUUAACUGUUCCUGUCUUCCCCCCUUCCUUCCUGAUUUUCUGGGUCAUGCUAUUAAACUUAAGCCCAUCGUCGUCGUGACGGUCCCACGGAGCUCGCUUCCAUCAUUGUACACGAUGCUCAUUUUCC